GUGCCAGCAGCCGCGGUAAUACGUAGGGAGCAAGCGUUGUCCGGAAUCAUUGGGCGUAAAGCGCGCGUAGGCGGCCCCGUAAGUCCGCUGUAAAAGUCAAAGGCUCAACCUUUGAAAGCCGGUGGAUACUGUGGGGCUAGAGUCCGGAAGAGGCGAGUGGAAUUCCUGGUGUAGCGGUGGAAUGCGCAGAUAUCAGGAGGAACACCGAUAGCGAAGGCAGCUCGCUGGGACGGUACUGACGCUAAGGCGCGAAAGCGUGGGGAGCGAACAGGAUUAGAAACCCUUGUAGUCC
Molecule: ribosomal RNA, 292 nt
Filed under: uncultured bacterium
Lineage: Bacteria
Description: partial 16S ribosomal RNA
Rfam family: Bacterial small subunit ribosomal RNA
Source: RNAcentral